This 450-nucleotide ribosomal RNA is filed under the name uncultured bacterium. Its description in RNAcentral is "bacterial SSU rRNA". It matches the Rfam family "Bacterial small subunit ribosomal RNA", at positions 354 to 796 of the family's 1533-position model. The record is from RNAcentral.
GUCGAGAAUCUUUCGCAAUGGGCGAAAGCCUGACGAAGCGACGCUGUGUGAACGAUGAAGGCCUUCGGGUUGUAAAGUUCUUUCGCAUAAGAGCAAGAGAGAUAGGUGAAUAACCUAUUGAUUUGAGAGUACUAUGUAAAGAAGCACCGGCUAACUCCGUGCCAGCAGCUGCGGUAAUACGGAGGGUGCAAGCAUUAAUCGGAUUUAUUGGGCGUAAAGGGCGCGUAGGCGGAUUUGUCAGUCAGGUGUGAAAUUCCGGAGCUCAACUUCGGAGCUGCAUUUGAAACAGCAAGUCUUGAGGGUAGGCGGAGAAAAUGGAAUUCCACGUGUAGCGGUGAAAUGCGUAGAUAUGUGGAAGAACACCGGUGGCGAAAGCGAUUUUCUAGCUUAUACCUGACGCUGAGGCGCGAGAGCAAGGGGAGCAAACAGGAUUAGAUACCCUGGUAGUCC